Molecule: long non-coding RNA, 364 nt
Filed under: Homo sapiens (human)
Lineage: Eukaryota; Metazoa; Chordata; Mammalia; Primates; Hominidae
Description: HSALNT0144396
Source: RNAcentral
CUGUAGUUGAAUAUGUUUGGAACCUGCUUUGCAUCCCUCUUCUUAGAGACUCAAAUCACACAUUUGCAUGUUUUGUUUUGUUUUGUUUUUGAGAGCUUCAAGAAGUACUUCAGUUUUUAAAAAGCAGAUUUUAAAAACCUCUCUUUUAUUAAUUUCAUAUACCAUUUUUUGGUAACAUCUGUUGACAUCUUAGGGAAUUUAAUUUGGGAAAUAGCACUCUAGGCAAAGGAAAACCCAUUGCUUCUCGGCACCCUCUGCAAGUCUUGCAGCUCCUCAUCCAGUAGGGAGAAACAUGAAGAGGAAGACAAUAGAGUUUGGAUGAGCUGCUGCCCAGAGCCCUUUGUUUCUGUCCUCAGGUAAAAAU